GCCCCGAGCAGCAGCGGCCGCUUCGCCCUCGUCCGUGCAGGGAGCAGCGGGCACCGAGUGGCAGGAGGUGCAGGAGAAGAAAGUGGAGGCCUCCAUGGUGUGUGGAAAAAAGCAUAAACCAAGAGUGAGCAGAGGAAGCCUGGAUGAGUGAAGUGGAGCAGGAGGUGCUGGAGAAGAAAGAGGAAGCAUCCAUGGUGUGUUGAAGGAAGCAGGAAGCAAG
Molecule: long non-coding RNA, 220 nt
Organism: Calypte anna (Anna's hummingbird)
Lineage: Eukaryota; Metazoa; Chordata; Aves; Apodiformes; Trochilidae
Exons: 3
Source: RefSeq, a predicted model, not a curated record